UGCAGUCGUACGAGAAUCUUUGAUUCAAGUGGCGGACGGGUGAGUAACACGUAAGAAUUUGCCUUUAGGAGGGGGACAACAACUGGAAACGGUUGCUAAUACCCCAUAUGCUUAAUACUUGGUAGUGAAAAGUGAAACGGAGUUUUCCGCCUAGAGAGAAGCUUGCGGCUGAUUAGCUUGUUGGUGAGGUAAUGGCUUACCAAGGCGACGAUCAGUAUCUGGUUUGAGAGGACGAUCAGACACACUGGAACUGAGACACGGUCCAGACUCCUACGGGAGGCAGCAGUGGGGAAUUUUCCGCAAUGGGCGAAAGCCUGACGGAGCAAUCUCGCGUGAGGGAUGACUGCCUAUGGGUUGUAAACCUCUUUUUUCAGGGAGGAAGAAAAUGACGUGUACCUGAAGAAUAAGCAUCGGCUAACUCCGUGCCAGCAGCCGCGGUAAGACGGAGGAUGCAAGUGUUAUCCGGAAUCACUGGGCGUAAAGCGUCUGUAGGUGGUUUAAUAAGUCAACUGUUAAAUCUUGAAGCUCAACUUCAAAAUCGCAGUCGAAACUAUUAGACUAGAGUAUAGUAGGGGUAAAGGGAAUUUCCGGUGGAGCGGUGAAAUGCGUAGAGAUUGGAAAGAACACCGAUGGCGAAGGCACUUUACUGGGCUAUUACUGACACUCAGAGACGAAAGCUAGGGUAGCAAAUGGGAUUAGAUACCCCAGUAGUCCUAGCCGUAAACAAUGGAUACUAGAUGUUGAACAGAUCGACCUGUGCAGUAUUAAAGCUA
RNAcentral lists this ribosomal RNA (773 nucleotides) under uncultured bacterium. RNAcentral's name for it is "bacterial SSU rRNA". It matches the Rfam family "Bacterial small subunit ribosomal RNA", at positions 56 to 854 of the family's 1533-position model. The record is from RNAcentral.